ACCUGUAUGCCAUAUCAUUAUCUCCACACUCCUUGGUUAAGAGGACAACUAACUCAUAUAGCCUACAGUGACCUAUGCUCGAUAGAAGCUGUCGUCCUUAUUAACAGCCUAUCAUUUGGUCGUGAACAGUUUUAAGGACUAAUCGAUAAAUCCUCUCUUUAUCGAAUCUAAAUAGUCCUAAGGACUUCAUCACAAUAAC
This 199-nucleotide long non-coding RNA is filed under the name Elaeis guineensis (African oil palm). Its description in RNAcentral is "long non-coding RNA (EGUI_LNC080035)". Lineage: Eukaryota; Viridiplantae; Streptophyta; Magnoliopsida; Arecales; Arecaceae. The record is from RNAcentral.